Molecule: unclassified non-coding RNA, 56 nt
Filed under: Mus musculus (house mouse)
Lineage: Eukaryota; Metazoa; Chordata; Mammalia; Rodentia; Muridae
Description: partial probably derived from hnRNA or mRNA fragment, protein coding region
Source: RNAcentral
GGAAGAUGGAAAGGAAGAUCUGCAUGAGGAAGUUGGAAAGGAAGAUCUGCAUGAGG